ACCUUCUGAAGUGUAGUUGGUAGCGCAUUUGCUUAGUAAUAAUAAGUCCUAAGUUCAAGUCUUAGUCGGGGUA
Molecule: non-coding RNA, 73 nt
Organism: Halocaridina rubra (Hawaiian volcano shrimp)
Lineage: Eukaryota; Metazoa; Arthropoda; Malacostraca; Decapoda; Atyidae
Source: the annotation of a GenBank genome assembly